Molecule: ribosomal RNA, 286 nt
Filed under: Candidatus Bathyarchaeota archaeon
Lineage: Archaea; Thermoproteati; Candidatus Bathyarchaeota
Description: partial 16S ribosomal RNA
Rfam family: Archaeal small subunit ribosomal RNA
Source: RNAcentral
UCCGCUGAGGAUGGCUUUUCCCCGGUGUAAUGAGCCGGGGGAAUAAGGAGAGGGCAAGACUGGUGUCAGCCGCCGCGGUAAUACCAGCUCUCCGAGUGGUAGGGAUGAUUAUUGGGCUUAAAGCGUCCGUAGCCGGCCUAGCAAGUCUCCUGUUAAAUUCAGCGACUUAAUCGUUGAGCCGCGGGAGAUACUACUAGGCUAGGAGGCGGGAGAGGCCGACAGUAUUCUCGGGGUAGGGGUGAAAUCCUAUAAUCCCGGGAGGACCACCAGUGGCGAAGGCUGUCGG